GUCAACAUAGUUUAACAAAAACAUUAGGAUGUGGAUCUAAAAACAGAAGCUAGAACCUUCUUGUUGAC
This 68-nucleotide transfer RNA is filed under the name Egernia epsisolus (Eastern Pilbara spiny-tailed skink). RNAcentral's name for it is "tRNA-His". It matches the Rfam family "tRNA". From Rfam's summary of the family: Transfer RNA (tRNA) molecules are approximately 80 nucleotides in length. Lineage: Eukaryota; Metazoa; Chordata; Lepidosauria; Squamata; Scincidae. The record is from RNAcentral.